GAAUAGCUUAGUGGUAGAGCGCAAGGCUCUUAGGUAAACCUUGUGGUCGUGGGUUCGAUCCCCACUUC
This 68-nucleotide transfer RNA is filed under the name Amorphochlora amoebiformis. It matches the Rfam family "tRNA", at positions 5 to 66 of the family's 71-position model. Rfam says of the family: Transfer RNA (tRNA) molecules are approximately 80 nucleotides in length. Their secondary structure includes four short double-helical elements and three loops (D, anti-codon, and T loops). Lineage: Eukaryota; Cercozoa; Chlorarachniophyceae. The record is from RNAcentral.